RNAcentral lists this ribosomal RNA (409 nucleotides) under uncultured bacterium. Its description in RNAcentral is "bacterial SSU rRNA". It matches the Rfam family "Bacterial small subunit ribosomal RNA", at positions 9 to 411 of the family's 1533-position model. The record is from RNAcentral.
GAGUUUGAUCCUGGCUCAGACGUGAACGCUCGGCUGGUCAAGCCUAACACAUGCAAGUCGAACGGCAGCACAGGAGAGCUUGCUCUCUGGGUGGCGAGUGGCGGACGGGUGAGGAAUACAUCGGAAUCUACUUUUUCGUGGGGGAUAACGUAGGGAAACUUACGCUAAUACCGCAUACGACCUACGGGUGAAAGCAGGGGAUCUUCGGACCUUGCGCGAUUGAAUGAGCCGAUGUCGGAUUAGCUAGUUGGCGGGGUAAAGGCCCACCAAGGCGACGAUCCGUAGCUGGUCUGAGAGGAUGAUCAGCCACACUGGAACUGAGACACGGUCCAGACUCCUACGGGAGGCAGCAGUGGGGAAUAUUGGACAAUGGGCGCAAGCCUAAUCCAGCCAUACCGGUGGGUGAAGA